Non-coding RNA from Drosophila kikkawai, 439 nucleotides. NCBI's taxonomy places the organism in Eukaryota, Metazoa, Arthropoda, Insecta, Diptera, Drosophilidae. The record is from RefSeq and is a predicted model, not a curated record.
UAAGUCAUCAAGAGUGGGAAAAACAAACAGAAGUUACAAAAUGAAUCUACUACACGUAUCUACGGAACGUUUCUAUAGUUGCACCGUCCUAGUAGCCAUUAUUCUCCUGGCAAUUCCAGAUGGAUACUUUUGUAGAUCCGUCUUUUUGGGGUCAAGUUACCUAUAAGAAAACACUAACUAUGACAAGGCAGCUUACUGGCAUUAUAUUCGUGGAUAAUGCAAAUAAUGAACCUACCAUAUGGAUGAGUCGAUGGCCGCCUUGCUAUAACCCGGUUAUCAUAAUCACCUCUCGAAAAAAACUACCCAUCAAUGUUACAAUGACGGCGUACUACAAUUAAAGCUUGUUCACAAAGCCGAUCAUGUAUAAUAAAACAAAGCAGAUAAAGUGAAUUUUAAAUGUAAGAAUUCCAAAUAAAGAAUUUACCUGAUACUAUUAUAA